This 468-nucleotide ribosomal RNA is filed under the name uncultured bacterium. RNAcentral describes it as "partial 16S ribosomal RNA". It matches the Rfam family "Bacterial small subunit ribosomal RNA", at positions 28 to 507 of the family's 1533-position model. The record is from RNAcentral.
GACGAACGCUGGCGGCGUGCUUAACACAUGCAAGUCGAACGGAAAGGCCCUGCUUUUGUGGGGUGCUCGAGUGGCGAACGGGUGAGUAACACGUGAGUAACCUGCCCUUGACUUUGGGAUAACUUCAGGAAACUGGGGCUAAUAACGGAUAGGAGCUCCUGCUGCAUGGUGUGGGUUGGAAAGUUUCGGCGGUUGGGGAUGGACUCGCGGCUUAUCAGCUUGUUGGUGGGGUAGUGGCUUACCAAGGCUUUGACGGGUAGCCGGCCUGAGAGGGUGACCGGCCACAGUGGGACUGAGAUACGGGCCAGACGCCUACGGGAGGCAGCAGUGGGGAAUAUUGCACGAUGGGCGGAAGCCUGAAGCAGCAACGCCGCGUGCGGGAUGACGGCCUUCGGGUUGUAAACCGCUUUCGCCUGUGACGAAGCGUGAGUGACGGUAAUGGGUAAAGAAGCACCGGCUAACUACGUG